UACAGGGGGGGCAAGCGUUGUUCGGAAUUACUGGGCGUAAAGGGCUCGUAGGCGGCCAACUAAGUCACACGUGAAAUCCCUCGGCUCAACCGGGGAACUGCGUCUGAGACUGGAAGGCUUGAAUCCGGGAGAGGGAUGCAGAAUUCCAGGUGUAGCGGUGAAAUGCGUAGAUAUCUGGAGGAAUACCGGUGGCGAAGGCGGCAUCCUGGACCGGCAUUGACGCUGAGGAGCGAAAGCUAGGGGAGCAAACGGG
This 253-nucleotide ribosomal RNA is filed under the name uncultured bacterium. RNAcentral describes it as "partial 16S ribosomal RNA". It matches the Rfam family "Bacterial small subunit ribosomal RNA", at positions 524 to 776 of the family's 1533-position model. The record is from RNAcentral.